RNAcentral lists this long non-coding RNA (522 nucleotides) under Amborella trichopoda. Its description in RNAcentral is "long non-coding RNA (ATRI_LNC000302)". Lineage: Eukaryota; Viridiplantae; Streptophyta; Magnoliopsida; Amborellales; Amborellaceae. The record is from RNAcentral.
UACUGCUUAAUAACUUGGAGAGACAAACACUUUUAUUUGCUGCACUGGCUUAGGCAGAAAACUAGACAUGGAUGCAUGGUGAUUGGUUCUCUUAGUAUGGUGGCUUGUGAUAAGGGGGCGGCUUGUAGUGGGGUGGCGGCUUCUUUGGGGGAGGCUUCACCGGAGGUCGUUGCAUUGGUGGUGGUUUGUAGGAGGCGAGGGACUCCUUGGCUUCGUCAUCUUCUUUGCUCGGAGGGUGACCGGGGUAGUGGCCAUGAGGAGGUUUCUUGACUGGUGGCUUCUUAACUGGGGGCUUGUGCACUGGAGGUGGCUUAUAGAGAAGCUCAUCCCGAGUGUUUUCUUCCUCACUAGGAGGGUGGCCACCAUGAGGUGGUGGUUUCUUAUGGGGUGGCUUAUGCUUUGGAGGUGGUUUGUAUACUGGAGGCUUGUGACCUGGGGGUUUUUUCAUCUCCUCAAACUCAAACUCAGCAUUUGAGUAAGUGGAGAGAACAAACACCCCAAGAAGCAACACCAGUAGCUUAG